AUGGCACGGCCAACUGCACCAUCACCAACACGUACGGGCUCCUUCACGGACCGUACCAUCUGCCGUGCGGCCAAGGUCACCUACCCGGGGACCGAGCAGGAGCUCGUCGCGGCCGUGGCAGCCGUGGUGUCCACAAAACAGAAGGUGAAGGUGGCCACCAAGCACUCACACAGCAUUCCCAAGCUGGCGUGCCCCGGCGGCGACGAAGGUACACUCGUAAGCACGGCGCGGCUCAACCGGACGGUAUGCAUCGACGUCGCGAAACGGCUCAUGACGGUGGAGAGCGGCAUGGUCCUUCGGGACCUGAUCGAGGCCGCUGCCGCGGCAGGGCUGUCCCUGCCUCACUCACCGUACUGGUACGGCCUGACCAUCGGGGGCAUGUUGGCGACGGGAGCGCACGGGAGCUCGCUGUGGGGAAAGGGAGGCGCCGUGCACGAGUACGUGGUCGGGCUGAGGAUCGUAACUCCGGCGCCGGCGAGCCAGGGGUUCGCCGUAGUGAGGGAGCUAGGUUCCGAUCACCCAGACCUGGAUGCCGUUAAGGUCUCCCUUGGCGUUCUCGGUGUCGUCUCUCAGGUAACUCUGACCAUGCAGCCGUUGUUCAAGCGGUCGGUGACGAUGGUGCAGCGCGACGACUCGGACAUGGCGGAGAAGGUGGCCGUGUGGGGCCACCUCCACGAGUUUGGCGACAUGACGUGGCUACCGUAUCAGCGCAAGGUGAUCUACCGCCAAGACGACCGCGUCGACGUCUCGACCCCAGGCAAUGGCCUGAAUGACUUGCUCCUUUUUCGCGCCAGUCCCACCCGCAGGCUCAUCGAUGCGAGAGUCGCCGAGGAGCGCCUGCAGGAGAACGGCACUGACACAGCCCGAUGCACGGCGGCGCAGCAGCAAGCGGCCGCCUUCGAGCAACGGUCCUACGGUUUCACGAACGACGGCGUCUCUUUCACAAGAUACCCGGUGGUGGGGUACCAACACCGCGUCCAGGCGUCUGGCACAUGCCUCAGCAGCCCAGAGGAUGGCCUCCUCACCUCCUGCGCUUGGGACCCACGCAUCCGAGGCUCCUUCUACUACAACUCCGGCUUCAGCGUCACACUCUCCAAGGCACGGGCGUUCGUUGUUGACAUGCAACGUCUCCGCGACCGCAACCCGGACAUGUUUUGUGCUGCCCUCGACUCCAAGGUGGGCGUGGUCAUGCGGUACGUCAAGGCGUCAUCGGCUUAUCUUGGUAAAAAGAAGGACUCGGUCGACUUCGACAUCAUCUACUACCGGAGCCACACAAAUGGCAUGCCGCGUGUGCACGCCGACGUGGUGGACGAGAUUGAGCAGAUGGCGCUACGCAAGUACAGCGGCCUCCCGCAUUGGGGCAAGAACCGCAACUUUGCCUACGAUGGUGUCAUCGCAAAGUACCCGAAAGCUCAUGAGUUCCUUAAAGUGAAAAAUAGGUACGACCCCGCCGGGCUCUUCUCCAAUGAGUGGACUGACCAAGUACUCGGUAUCAAUGAAACUCCCAACAUCAUCAAAAAGAGUUGCGCCAUCGAAGGACUCUGCGUCUGCUCCAGUGACUUACAUUGUGCUCCGGAGCAGGGCUACUUAUGCAAGCCAGGGAAGGUGUACAAAGAGGCUCGAGUCUGCUCGUUCAUCAGGGAUUAUUAG
RNAcentral lists this ribosomal RNA (1650 nucleotides) under Triticum aestivum (bread wheat). RNAcentral's name for it is "partial small subunit ribosomal RNA". The record is from RNAcentral. Lineage: Eukaryota; Viridiplantae; Streptophyta; Magnoliopsida; Poales; Poaceae.